This 16897-nucleotide long non-coding RNA is filed under the name Erythranthe guttata (spotted monkey flower). Its description in RNAcentral is "long non-coding RNA (EGUT_LNC000623)". The record is from RNAcentral. Lineage: Eukaryota; Viridiplantae; Streptophyta; Magnoliopsida; Lamiales; Phrymaceae.
AUCCUUGCAAGUGAUUAAUUAACAUGAAUGAAGUAGCUUCAUCGGCUGAGAAUCCCCUUUUGUUCAUUUCCUCUAAGAAUGGCAUUGCCUUGUCAAGUUCUUUCUUCUUCAACAAGCAAUGGAUAAUGACGUUGUAUGUCACGCUAUUCGGUACACAACCGCUUCUCUCCAUUUUUAUAAGCAAAUCUUUUGCCUCGUCGACAAAUCCAUCCUGACAAAGUGAAUCGAUAACAACUGUAUAAGCUUGACAGUUUGGUUGCAAACCUUGGACGGAAGUUCUUUUAAAAGCUUUUUUGCCUCUUCAAGUUUCCCAUCGUUGCACAAACCAUUAAUCAAGAUACCGUAUGUGACUAUAUUAGGAAUUAAUCCUUUGUCUUCCAUCACCCGUAGAAACGAAAAUGCUUCGGCAAUCUGAUGAGUUUUGCACAAACUAUCCAACAAAAUAUUGCAAGUAUGUAAAUCUGGACGUACGUGCCGAGCUUCCAUAUAGUUGAAUAGUUUCCAUCCAUCGGCAAUUCUGCCUUCACUAAAUAAUCCAUGUAUCAUGGUAUUAUAAGUAACUGUCGUGUGUUCUAAGCCUUUCGAAGAAACUUCGAGGAAAAGACGCCAAGCUUCAUCAACUUUACCCUUCUUGCAGUAUCCGUUGAUUAAAGUGCCGUAGCUCAUAAUACAUGGCUUAAGGCAGAAUCAAAUACUUGUUUCGCCUUUUCCAUUUUCCCUUGCAAACAAUACCCAUCCAUCAACGCAUUGUACGUGAAAAUAUCAGGACGAAUAUUUUGUUGCUUCAUAAUUUUCAAAACAUCCUCAGCCUCUUUAAUAUUUCCUUCCUUGCAAAAUGCGUCCACCAAUACAGUAAAAGUAACAACAUCUAACGGAAUCUUGUGAUUCACCAUUUCAUUCAGUAAGUCUUUGACCUCUUUCCAUCUACCAAAAUCGCACAAGCCCUGAAUCAUGGAGUUAUAUGUGACAACGUCAGGUGAAAUGCCCUUAUCAACCAUUCUAGACUUGAGCUCGAGUGCAUUAUCCACCAUUUCAGUCUUGCAUAAGCCAUUAAUUACCGCAUUAUAAGCCUUAACAUUGGGUUUAUAAAUAGUCUUUUCCAAUAAGAAAAGCAAAUCAUGGGCAGCAAGAACAUGUCCAGUUUUGCAGAGCCCAUCUAUCACAGUAAGAAUCGUAACUUCGUUAGGCUCGCAAAUUUUCGAAGUCAAAAGCUUCUUGAACAAUUUCUCCGCCUCGGCCACCUUACCAUUUAAAAAGAGCCCUUUUAGGAGAGCGGUGAAUGUCGUAACAUCUGGCUCGUAACCGUGUUUAAAGAAGACGCCGAAGAUAGCAAAACCAACGUCUACACGUUUCAAAAGGCAACAACAAUUAAUCAAGAUGGUCAUUGUGUACUCAUUUACAGGGGCACCCAGUUCACGCAUUUCGUCGAACAGUUUGAGGGCAACCGAGUAUUGUUUCAAAUUGACAAUAACUUUCAAUUGUUUGGUGAAUUCAAAAAUGGGGGGCUGCGGCCGCAUUCUCACCAUUUUGCGAAACAAGAAAAUAGCUUCAUCUACUUCAUUUGCACAGCUCAAAUCUCUUCGGAGGUUAGGUGAAAAAAGUCUAUCUUUGUGGCGCACGCUAUGAAAAUUUAGCAGAAAUUGCUCUACGAAUAGGAGGCGCUAUUGCAGAAAUUCUCAUCUUCUUAAAUCGAUUUUUGUGAAGAAAAUUCUACUGCAGUGCAAAAUGAAGUUGCACAAAGGUGCAGUCUGUUCUUUAAUGGUUAUAAAUUAUAAUUGACUAAUUACAUCUAGACCCCUUCAAAAUAGUAUAAUUACAAAUAAUUUUCAUUGACUCUAAAUUUUGCAACUAUCAAUAUGCAUUACCUUCCCUCUAAGUUUGUUUUAAUAAAAAGGGUUUAUUGCAAUUAGUACCCGUUUCUGUAUUAUUUAUGAUUCAAAUUUUGUUAGCACACAAGUACAACCCCUGACCGGGAGUUAGAGGGGUACUAACUGCAAAAAAAAAAAACUAAAUCACGGGGUGUUUUCCUUAUUUUAUGUUUUUAUUUAAUUAUUUCAGUACUUGAUUUGUCAGCAGUUUGUUAUAAGGUGCUGUGAAGGAAUGAGAAAGGCAUGAUCAAUUUUCAGAAUUUUAUCUCUCUCUCUCUCGUCUCCUUCUCUCUAUCCUUCUACUCUUCUUAUUCCCAAAUUCUCAUAAACCCUAGUAAUAUCCAAUCUAAAAAUACAAAAAUAUAUCGGAAUUUUACAUUUUACUAAUAAAAUAACACGGGAUAGUUUUUUAGCAAUUGGAUGUAACACCAGAGUACUAAUUGCAUUCAACUCCUAAUAAAAAACCCAAAGGAAAACAUAAUAAGGGUAAAAGAUAGCUUGAUGGAAAAAAAUAAAAAACAGUAGGACAUAAAACAAAUUUGGUUAAGCUACUACCAACACAGUAAAGGGGGAGUGUUAACCACAAAUUUUUCGAGUCUGCAAAAUAUAAUAAAAAUACAAGACAAGAAAAUAGGGAACAAAUAAUUUAUUAAUCAAAACGAUGCGGAUUACAAUCUCAGUAAUUCCCCUGAUUCUUCUCUCCUAUUCUAAUUUUGAUUCAAGGGCUUAAAAGCUUGUUCUUGAAUCGAAGCUAUGAUUUCCUAUCACGAACACCUCGAAUUUAAAUAUGUUAUGAAUUCGAGGAAUUGAACAUAUGAUUUCCUAUCACGAACCUCUCGAAUUCAAAUAUGUUAUGAAUUCGAGGCGGAGGCUCGAGACGUGAGCUUGAGAGCUCGAUAUGUGUCUGUGUGAGUCUGUUUUUUUAGAUGCACCAAAGAUCUUCUUUUAUAGGCACAAGCUAGGGUUAGGGUUUCUCGACUUGCACAGUGGGCCGGACAUUGUAAAGCCCAAAUAUGUUAUGGACUUUAAUUUGAGACCUAAAUUAAUAACCGAUUUAUCUUGGUUAUUAAUUAGUAAUUUAUCUCAAAUUUUCGAUAUCUACAGGGAGAACUAUUAUGAGCACAAACACUUCGCACAUUUUCUUGAUGUCAAGAGUUUUUAUGAUCCAACAAGGCAAGCCCAUUACUUAACCCAAGAAAACAUCGCAUUUUGGGAACACGUUGACUAAUAGGUAUUUCCGGUUUUUAGUUCUACAUUUUAUAAUAUAUUGUUGAUGUUUUAGUUAUAUGUUGCAAUUGUUGAUGACUACGACUAGGGUGGGGAGUGCUCACAGUUCGUCCAAGGGUUGGAUCUACCGGAGCUGUUAACUCCGUGCAAUUUCAGCUUGAUUCGGGGGUUGAGCUUCAACUAACCAGGAUUAAGACGGAUUUUUCAAAAUCCUAUCAGGAAGGACAAAGCAGUGUAUCCAGUUUUUCAAGGUUUGAUACGCAAUGUCACAUAUAAGGCAUUAGAUUUGUUGGAUGAUGAGCUCAGUAAACCAGUUGUACAAGAUUCGGCUAGCUCUACCCACGUUCUUAGUGUUACCCAUGGACUUCCGUGUGCUUACCAAAUUGAGAGAAAAAUCCAGGAACGUGAUACAUUCUGGGUGAAGAUGUGUUGCACAAGUUGUGUACGGAGAUAAUAAAAGAUGGAAUCGAGUGAGAAAUAUGAAUUUCAACUAAUGCUUAGCCAACAAAUGUUAUCGGAGCUCCGAUUUAGUUAACAAAUGUUGAAGUCAACUAAUGCUUAGCCACGCAUAAGGUUGCGUCACAUGGUUAGCUUAAUGUGGUCCACGUCUCUCAUAUGGUUUGCAAGCUAUCAUACGAGAGUGUAGGUUUAUCCAGUGCAUCUAUAUGGUUGGCCGCGGUUUCUUUUUACCAAAAAAAAAAAAAACUAAUGCUUAGCCAGCUAAUCGAAGCUCCGACGAUCCACCGCAAAAGCUAAUGUGUAGUAUGCUAAUUGAUCAGAGCUCCGACUACACUCGAGUUUCCGGAGAAGUUUUGGCCGGAAAUAGUCAAUUUCGUGAUUGGUGCUCCAAAUAAUAGAGUUUGGGGGGCAUCGUGCAACUUUUUUUUUUUAGUCUAGGGGGUAAUGUGCGAAACACACCAAAGUUUGGGGUGCAAAAUGCCAUUAACCCUUUUAAAUAUUUUGUUAGGUACUAACAAUAUUAAAUAACAAUAUAGCCCCCUAUUUAUACAUCUUGUACUAUAUUAGCUCUCUUUUUUUUAUUCUUUUUUUUUAGAAACUCUUUAAUUGUACAAUAUUAAAACUCUUUUUUUUUUAUUCAAAUGUAUCAUAUCAAUUCCCAAUAUAUCAAUAUUUUCUUUAAUUGGCCAUGUAGUGGGUGGUCUAGCGGUUGGAGUAAGAGAACAAGUGUAAAUUAACCCAAGUUCAAAUUUCUUGCCAACUGUUUUUAGGUCGAUAUAAAAUAAAAUAAAACAACUAAUUAAAACAAGGGAUACGUGGCAGCCAAAUCAAUUGAAUAUUAUAUGUAAGGUCAGUCAACUUAAAGAAUAAAUGGUAAAUUAUGAAAAUUCCUUGAACUUAGGCUAAAUUACGAAAACACCCCAUCUAUCCAUAAUAGUAAAAAGAGUUGUGAGUGUGUUAUUUAAGAAGAAUAAAAAUUCCGUGUAAAGGUCCUCAAGGAUAUUUUUUGUUUUUAAAAAGUAGCAUAAAGAAAUGCCACGUCUACAGGGGUAGAAUAGGCAUUUUUCGAAAAUAAUCCCUCGACUCAAAAAGAUUCCAUGAAAAAUCCCACCAUAAGGGGCAGGUGUAAGACGAAAACAAACGUCGGAGAGUUUUAGUAAUUACGAAUAUGUGGGGAUGUUUUUUAUAAUUCAGGCUAAGUUCAGGGGGUUUUUUGUAAUUUACCUAAUAAAGAAACACAAACUCCACAAAAACUAAGAUGAUAUUACAACAAUUAGUCAUGAGGGUAAAAUCGGUAUUUGCUGAGUGAUAGUACAUGAAAUAAAAAAAUCCGUCAAAUUUCACACCGUAAAGGGGAACUUUGUAUGACAACAACAACAAACAUUAGGGGGGUUUCGGUAAUUACAAACAACGUGGAGAUUUUUUUUUCUUAAAUCGACCUUAGUUCUCGCAUAUGAUAAAUCAAUAUGUAAAGCACAACUUCGACGUAUCCAAUUUCACUUUCAUUUUUAUUCCUUUGUUUUGUUUCGUGCGUAGAAAUAAAAAUGCACCGGUAGUCUACUUUUUGACUGUAUGUUUCUCGGUUUUAUUUUUCAAUCAUUACAUAGAUUUUAUACAUCUCUCAACAUCGAGCACACGCACGAAUUGCGUGGGACCCGGUUAGGGAGCAAUUUGGAGCCGGUAGAUCGAUCAAACGCUUGGAUUGCUCUCGAUAAACGUAUUGGUCGCGUCGAAAAGUGACCGUAAGUGGGCCAAACGAGCAAUUUUCACCUCUAGUGUUGGGUCGAUGGUGGCUGAACGAACUUCGCGUGCAUAUGCUGAUCAAACAAAAUAUUUCAAGUAUAUAAAUUAGGAUGUAUAUGCCAAAUUUCCAUAUCAUUAACAAAGUUUGAAUUUGUUAUCAACUUCUGAAAAUAUUGACAUUUUGUCAAAAGGGUUACUUCCGCCCCCUAAAUUUAACAUAGUGAUUUAAGAUUAUGGAUGUGUUGAUAUACACCCAUAAUAUGGAAAAUAUAUAGGGAUAGGUCCACCCCUAAAAUUCUUUCUUUCUAAUAGACAAAAAGACUAUGAUGCCCCUUACAUACAAUUUUUGCCCUAACUGCAUUAACAUUUCCACCAAGUGCAUAUAGCAUUUUCGUUUUAUUUUUUAAUAAUUUUUUUAUUAAAAAUAAUAAAAUAUACAUUUUAUUUUCUUAAAAAUUUCUGAUUUUUUUUCCCGAAAAGUUUACAUACUAUUUCGAAUAUGACUAUAGUCAACUAUAGUCAUAUCCUUUCUUCAUAUAUCGUUUUUUUAUAUUUUCUACUUAAAAUUGUAUAUUCUCAAUUAUAUAAUGUAGCUCAGUCAUAUUAAACAAAUUUUAAAAAAAACUAUUAUUUAUGAAAUAAUCAAUCAACAUUCACAAAUAAACAAAAAAAAAUCAUAAUUUGAAUCUUGUUAUUACAAGUCAACUUUCCACAAUAUGUAUCCAAAAUUCACAUGUGUAAAUUUUUCAACUGAAACAACCAUCAACAUCACUGUACAUUAAAAAAAAGUUACAUAUCUUAUAUAUAACUAUACAUAACUACAUAGUUGAUUCUCUCUAAUUGGCCAGUUGUUACCCAUCUCCUUCAACAUAGAAUUUUUUUGCUGCAACUAAAUUCUACACCAGAAAACACCAAAAAACAUACAGAGAUCGAGAGGAGAUAGAGGAAUAGGGAGAAAGAUACUUUAACCUCAGAAUUUGACGGCGGUGGAUGACUCAAAACGAUUGAUCAAAUCACAAUCACACAAAAAUCUAAACAAAUAAAAAAGUACCCAAAAAAUUAAUAUACCCUUACUUUGGUCUAAGAUCUCGCGGCGGUGGCAAAAACUCAACAACGGCUCCUAUCUAUUCUCUUCCCUGACUUUGGCCUCUAAUCUCACGGCGACGGUGACAGAGGACUCCACAAAUUCCGAGGAGCGGCACUAGACGGAGGGGGGGAGGCGCUUAAAGGGUGGAGGGUUUGUGAGUUAACCUGCUUCAACACAUUGAAGAUGUCGAUCUUUUACAUCUCCACGCUCUUCUUUGUCCUCUUCUUCUUCUCUCCUCCGACGACCACCUUCUUUUCUGCCUUGGGAGCCAUUUUUUGUCGCUGAAAUUUGGCGAGAAAGAGUUAGAGAGAGAAAUGAAGAGGUAGAGAGAAGGAGAGAUGUAACGACGGGAGGAAGAGGAAGAGAGAAGGUUAGGGGUUAGGGCAUUUAUUCAAACUAAAGGGCAAAACACGUACAGUUACCCAGUUGGGAGGUCUCACAAAUUAAGAUCACAAUUUGGUUUUUUUACUAUGACGAAGAAAAUUAUUGGACCUCCUCGUAUAUAUUUUCAAAACUAAUGGUAUCACUCAUUAACCCUUUAGAAUAUCUAUUAGGGAAGCCAUAGAAACAAAAGAAAUAAAUGACUAUAUAAAGUUAAAUUUUCCAUAUGUUUGAUAAAUGAAUAUCUAUUAGGGAAGCACACAUAUCCAAAUUUUUCUCUUCUUUCUAGUCAAAAUACCGACGGCUUGUUAUCUUUCCUACGCCACUAUCCACCCAUAAUAUAAGGAUUGCGACAACCGAAAAACUCACAAGUCAGAAGUACAUAUACAAAAGUUGUAUCUCAGCUACGUUACCUGCAAAAAUAUUAAAUAAGCAAAACCUUAUUAAAUUUGAGAAGCCCAAAUAAUUAAUUUACAUUUUUGGCACAAGUUUCUUCAUCAUUUCCAAAAGAAUAUCGUCUUUGUUUGAUCCUUGCACGUGAUUAAUUAACAAGGAUGAAGUAGAUGCGUCGGCAUAGAAUCACCUUUUGUGCAUGUCCUCUAAGAACGGGAUUGCCUUGGAAACCUCAUUCUUCUUUAGCAAACCUUGAAUUAUGUUGUUGUACAUCACACUAUCCGGUGCACACCCACUCCUCUCCAUUUUCACAAGCAAAUUUUUUGCCUCGUCUACACACCCUUCUCGGCAAAGUGAACCGAUAACAAUGGUAUGCGCUUGACAAUCAGGUUGCAAACCUUUAGAAGGAAGUUCGUUUGAAAGAUUUUUUGCAUCUAUAAUUUCCCCAUCUUUGCACAAACCAUUAAUCAGGAUACCGUAUGUGAUUAUCUUCCAUCACCCGUAGAAAUGAAAAUGCUUCGGCAAUCUGAUGAGUCUUGCACAAGCCAUCCAUUAAAAUAUUGUAAGUGAAUAAACCGGGAUGUACUUGCCGAGCUUCCAUAUCCUUAUAAAGUUUCCAUCCAUCAGCAAAUCUACCUUCAAUAAUCCAUGUAUCAUGGUAUUAUAAGUAACCGUCGUGUGUUCUAAGUCUUUCGAAGAAACUUCGAGAAAAAGACGCCAAGCUUCAUCCACUUUACCCUUCUUGCAAUAUCCGUUUAUUAAAGAGUUAUAGCUGAUAAUACAUGGCGUAAGGCCGUUUAUUCCAAACCCACUCAUCUUCUUCAGCUAUUUUAUGAAGAUAAUUUACUUGGUCAAUGGAAAGUGUGGUAAUUACUUGGUCAAUGGAAAGUGUUGUAAUUACUUAGAGAGUGGCAGUUUCUGUAAUUACUUGGUCAACGGAAAGUGUUGUAAUUACUUUGAGAGUGGCAGUUUCUGUAAUUACUGCUAAAUAAUUAUUUGUUGAGCGUGAGUUCUCUAAUUGUUGCUGAGUGGCAGUUAUGUAUUCAUUUGUUGAGUGUGAGUUCUGUAGUUGCUGCUCAUAAGCAUUUCUUUAAUUAUUUGUUGAGUGGUAGUUUUGUAAUUACUUGGUGAAUGAUUAUUCUGUAAUUAUCUGUUGAAUGCCAGUACUGUAAUUACAUGUCGAAUGGCAGUUCUGUAAUUAAAUGUUGAGUACUAGUUUUGUAAUUAUUGAUGAGUGACAGUUAUGUAAUUACUACCGAGUAGCUGUAAUUACUUGUUGAGUGAAAAUUCUUUAAUAACUUUUGAGUGGCAGUUCUGUAAUUAUUUGGUGAAUGACAAUUCAGUAGUUAUUGGUAAAUGGCAGUUCUUUAAUUAUUUGUUGAGCGACAAUUUUAUAAUUGCUGUUGAGUGAUAGUUAUGUAAUUACAGGGUGCAUGUCACUUCUAUAAUCAUUGAUGAAUUGCAGUUCUGUAAUUAUUUGUUGAGUGGCACUUCUGUAAAUACUUGUUAGUGGCAUUUCCAUAAUUACGAUAUUGAGUGGCAUUUCUGUAAUUACCAAGUGUGUGAACAUUAUGUAAUUACUUGAUGCGUGACAAUUCUGUAAUUACUGUUAAGUGGCAGUGUUGUAAUUACCGGUGAGUAGGAAUUCUUGUACUGUUGAAUGUCAAUUUUGUAAUUAAUGUUGAAUGGCAGUCAUGUAAUUAUUUGUUGAGUGGUAGUUCUAGAAUUACUUGAUGAUUGGCAGUUCUGCAAUUGCUGUUGAGUGGAAAUCAUAUAAUUACUUGGUGCUUAGCAAUUAUGUAAUUACUUGAUGAUCGGCAAUUUCGGAAUUACUAUUAAGCAGUGUUCUAAAAAUCGGCCGAGGCGGCCGAUUAAUCGGUCUCCGAGGCGGAGGCGGUCCAAAACCUUUACGAUUUUAGUGUAAAGGUUUGAAAAAUCGGUUUUUUGCCUGUGAGGCGGUCCGAGGCGGUCAAACCUUUAAGGCGGCAAACUCGGUGGCAAAAAUCGGUUAAAAAUCGGUUUUUUUAUUUUAUUAUUUUUUUUAUAAUUCAAAAGAAAAGUUGGAUUUUAAUAAAAGAAAAUAUGAGUUUAUGCCUUAUUUUGUUUAUGUUAAUUGUUAUUGUUAAAGAACUAAUGAUCUUAUAAUUAUUAAACUUUCAUUAUGUUAUUAGGAUAUAUACAUGAUGGAGAUAUAACUAUGUUUAAAUAUCUUUUUAUAUAUGUUUGGAGUAUUUAUAAAUAAUAUUUAGAAAUAUAUUAUAUUAAAUUUUCAAAACCGAUUUAUUUCCGAUUUAUCACCGAUUAAUCACCGCCGCACCGAUUAAUCGUGAGUCGGUGCCUCACCGACUCGGAUCCGAUUAUCGCUUUUUACAACCUUGCUAUUAAGUGGCAGUUCUGUAAUUACUUGGUGAGUGGUAGUUCUGUACUUACAUGUUGAAUGUCAAUUCUGUAAUUACUUGGUGGGUGGUAGUUAUGUAGUUAUAGUUGAGUUGCAGUGCUGUAAUUAUUAGGUGAGUGACAAUUAUGUAAUUACGGAUAAAUGACAGUUAUGUAAUUAUUGGUUAAAUGACACUUCUAUAUAUACUAUUGAGUGGCAGUUCUAUAAUUACUUGGUGAAUGGUAUUUUUGUAAUUACCUGGUGAGUGGUACUUCCGUAACUAAUGCUUAAUGGGAGUUAUGUUAUUAUUUGUUGAGUUAUUAUUUGUUGAGUGGCAGUUUCUUUAACUACCUGGUGAGUGACAGUUCUGUAAUUACAAUGUUAAGUGACAUUUCCUUAAUUACUUGGUGAAUGGUAAUUCUGUAAUUACUUGGUGCGUGAAAGUUCUCUAAUUAAUGUUCAGUGGUAGUUCUAUAACUAAUCGAUAAGUGGCAAUUCCGUAAUUACCUGCUAGAUGCACUUCUUUAUUUACCUGUUGAGUGGCAAUUAUGUAAUUAUUUGAUAAGUGGUCGUUCUGAUAUUACUAUCGAGUGACACUUUCGUAAUUACUGGUUGAGUGGUAGUUCUGUAAUUACAUGUUGAGUGGUAAUUUUGUAACUAUUUAUAAGUGGUAAUUUUGUAAUUACCUACAAAGUAGUAGGUUUUAAUUACAUAGUGAGUGGCAAUUACGUAAUAAUUCGGAGAGUGACAUUUCUGUAAAUACUACUAUAUGACAGUUCUGUGAUUAUUUGUUGAGUGUAAAAAAAAUAAUUAUUUGAGGAUCAAUUUUGUGCGAGAAAAAGUUGACCAAAACUGUAAUUGUCUCUAGUUAGAUAUGUAUACGAUACUUUUUAGAAAAAAAUACAUAUAAAAUUUUAUAAGCGGUUGCAUUAGAUAAAUGAUACUCUAUAUGUUCUACAAUAACUGUCUAUUUUUAAAUAUAUUUUGUUUUAUAUUAUCUGUCACUUUAGAUUUCCAAUACUACAUUAAUUACUUAAUUUCCAGUUUAUACCCUUAUAAACUCUUUCUAAUACUUCUUUUUUUAAUUCAUUUGUCUCUCUUAUUAAUUAUAAGAUAAGUUCAUUUCUGCCUAAAAGCAUACAUUUUUCAUAAAAUCAAGACACAUUUAAUGGAAUCCUUAAUCCGUGUGCAAAUCUAAAUACGACUAUUAAAAGGGAACUGAGGGAGUACUUUUUAAGGAAACAUAUAUUUUUUAUUUUCUUCCCCAAAAAAUCCAAUCCUUCUUCGAAACUUUCCAAAAGAAUUCCAUAACUUUCCUAAAUAUAGUAAUCACAUGAUUUUCGAAAAUAACCAAAUAACGAAGGGUCAAUUAGGGAGAACACCCCCCCCCCAUUAUUUGUUUGGGUCUUAUGAUAUAGGUCCCUGGUGACAAAACUAAUAAGAACUAAAUGACAAGCCCAACUAAACUUUUGUUUCACAUCCUUUAUUAAAUUCAUUCCAAAAAUGCUCCUCCACAUAUAAAUUCGAAUUUGUUGUAAGCAAAAUUCAAACAACAUUUAUCGUUUUAUUAUACAUUUAAUAUCUUCAUUUUUUCAUCUAAUAAUAUAUUUUAUUUUAUUUUUACCGACGUGGUCAUCUUUAUUUUUUCGUUUUUCACUCUAGCAAUUUUUACUUUAUUAUAAUUAAAUUUUUUUUAACAUUUUAUUGAAAAUUACGGAAAAUAAAUUUUCGGUUUUUGUCCAAUAAUACAGUAGAUUUUAAAAAAUACUAUGGUGCACUAUGGUAUACUAUGGUAUGCUAUGUUAUGGCGGCAUACUACGGUAUACUAUGGUGUACUACUCCGAACUCUAUCAUUCAACAACUUACAACCGCCGCCAAACCCUAACUUCCAACAUCUUCCAACCACCACUAAAUCAUAGCAUCCAACAAAAUUCAGUCGCCGUCAAAUCCUAUCUGCAAAAACCUAGUCGUCCACCGUACCAACCCUAGCCGCCGACCAAAUUAAACCCUAGCCGUUGACCAAUUUAAACCCUAGCCGCCAUAGCCGUUGACCAAAUUCAAACAUAGUUGUCGACCAAAUUAAACCCUAGACGUCGACCAAAUUAAACCCUAGCCGCCAUAGCCAUCGACCAAAUUAAACCCUAGCCGUCAACCAAAUUAAACCCUAGCCGCCAUAGCCGUCGACCAAAUUAAAACCUAGUCGACAUAGCCGCCACCAUCCGCCAUAGAUAUGACCUCCACCACCAUAGUCGUCGACCUCUUGCCUCCAUAAUUAUCCCCUUAUUGUCGCCGCCUCCCUAACUAUGCUACAUCUAAUUAUGUUUUCAACUAGGGACCUCUAGCAUAUUAACCCUUUAUUUGUUUUCAUAGAACUAAACUCACUUUGUUAUUUGUAAUUGAGAGACUCCCUAACUUCUCAUAACUCCAUUUUACUCAUACAUUAUUCCAUAUUUCCACCCAUCUUACCCACUACGUAUGUAUCGUUAUAUUUUCUACUUUUUUUUUUAAUAAAUUCAUCUUUUUGUUUCCUGGAAGAUUUACCGCAUCAUAAACAAUUCAACAAAUCAAAGAAACUCAUUUAACAUGUAUCAACAAAUCAAAGAAACUCCCAUUGGAAUUUUUAUCUUUGGCCCAAAAAUCUGUCAGAGUUGUAGUAAACCCUAGUCGAUUGAGAGCAACGGUAACAUCUGCUACUGCACAUCAUUUACGGUAAUCUCUUUAUUUCUUUCUUGUUCCAAUUUUUAGAGAAAUAUCUAUAUUCCAUUGGAGGUUAUUUACCCAGUGAUAUUUCAAGAGAUCAAAACGAGGAGAACAAAGCAACAAUUUAGUACACUGAGAUUUGAGAGAACAGAAGGUUUGUUUAUUUGUACAAUUUUAUUUUUUUACUUAGGUUGUUUUAUGUAUCAUUUAUGUGCAUAAAAGUAGUAAGAACUUUUACAGGUCUAAUUGCAACUCUAUAUCUGCAACUUAAUUUACUAUUAAGCAAUGGAUUUUUCGUUUUUUUACUGAAAGUUCAUAAUCUUGCAGUUUCGUCGACUCACCCUUUCUUGCAAAUUAGUCUCUCUGUUUCAUGUGGUAUGUUCUUAAAUAGCCUUUAAUAAUUGUUUUAAUUCAACAUUGAAACUAUUGUCAACUAUUCAAAGUUGCUGAGAAUCAGCAAGUAAAUUGAUGAUUGGGAGUUUAUCACUCUGUAGAACAAGGUAAGUAUCAUUUAUCAAGUAGACAAAUGCCUUUCCCGAGCCACACAAUAUAAAAUAAAUAAAAUUGUAAGUUGUUUUUACUAUUAACAUGCUACUAAUAUAGUAUUCUUCAUCAUUUUUCAUAAGAAUGUCACAGGGCAUCAUAUGCUUGAAAUUGAUUGGUGAUGUGGUUUGCUUCUGGACAUGUGCAUAUGCUGGAAAUGUUUACUAUACAGAGACAACAUGCUCCUUAUUGAAGGUUUAUAUUUUUUAUAAAAUUAUCUACCUUAUUUUGAUCAUAUCAAAUUUUAGUUUUGCUUAUUGGUUCUUCUAUGUUUGCAGUCAAGACAAGUGGCCAAAGAUCCAGCCAUAUGUGAAAAUAUACUCUAACAUAUUGCAAGAUUUUCUCAAUUAUAAGCUCUAUUAAUCUUUUUUUUUUCUUCAUAUUAUCUAUUUCUCUAAUAUCUAGCUAAUAUCUCGUGAAUUUUCUUCUAUUUUGCUACAGCAAAUGCUACAUUUGAAGGUAAAUAUUAUACCUAACUAGUCAUUAGUAUCUAAGUUGUCUUCUUAGGUUAAGUCACUAUUUGGCUAAUUACAUUUAUGUUGUCUUUCUAUUAUGAUAUAACAAGCUUGACUUUUUAGGAUGGGAUUCAAGUGAAAUCAUGAAGAUCAAGCCCAAGGAUCUCAUGAGAGAUCAUUACACUCGAAAGCAUAUAUGAAUGACUAUGUUGCAGGCUUUUCAAGACUACUAUUAGCAUUUGUAAUUCAAGUUUAUAGUAUUGUCCUGAUUUUGUAUGUAUGAUACUUUUAUUGGUAUAUAAUAUAUUAAUAGGUAUUAACUUAUGGCAUUGAUACGUGUCUCUGUGUGUAUAUAUAUAUAUAUAUAUAUAUAUAUAUAUAUAUAUAUAUAUAAUCAACUAAUUUUUUUUUUAAUUUUUUUUCUUUAUUUACUAAAAUUAUAAUCAGCUACAAAUUACAGUAAUCAACUACAAAAUUUUAUUAGAUAAUCAACUAUAUUUUAUUAGGUAACCAACUAUAAUUUUAACGUACGUACAAUUCAAAACAACUAUUUAUUAUAACAAAAACAACUGUUCAAAAUCAUAAUCAACUAUAAAAUCACCGAAAGCAACUACAAAAGUCACCGAAAUCAACUACAAAAUCAUCAAAACCAACUACAAAUUAUUGAAAUCAGCUACAACAAAACAAAUGUAUUUGAACAACAAGGAAAGUAAAAAUAAACUACAUAUCGAAAAAAACUCAAAACCAUAGGUCUUGAAUUAGAUACAUCAAUGUCCAGCUUUUAUUUACAAAAGGUUCGACGAUUUGGAUAUCUGUGUACCAUGAGUGUAUCUCUGUUAUUAUUUUUGUACAGUGACCCCGCCAGUGGUAUUUAUCCAGUUGACUAUUCACCACUGAACAAAACCACCUCCGCCGUGAAAAAUAGGAGAGAGCAAAAAGGGGAUUGAUCAGCGACGAGCGUUUUCGGAAGAUUGGUCCGUCGAACUGUUCUACUGAGCAGUAACUCUGGCGAAUUACUAUCAAAACCCUUCAAUUCACACAACUCCCCUAGGGGCACAAACGUAUUUGUCGGCUUCUUUUCUCUUAUUCCUCUCCGUCCGGUGGCUGUUUAAAAUUAACCUCCUUAUCUACGCUUAUCUCAAUGGAGUCAUAUGAAAUGUCUGCUCAACAUUUUAAUUCCAAUCGAAUCGAUAAAACGUUAUGGCUUUGAAGUGGAUUGACCGAGAAGAGAGGGGGAAAUAGUUGAAUUGUGUCACCAACCCUCAUUAUGAGAGUUGGUAUCUAGCCUUUACCAGUAGGGUAAAGCCUUUACCAAUAGGGUAAAGGUCUAGGUUCGAGUCCCUCACUUCCCUACUUCCCCUUGUACUGAACUUGAAUUUACUCCAAAAAAAGAAAAAAAUGUGUCGCAAGAGAGAGAAGGGGGAGAGUGGAUGAGUGAAUGAUAACGUGUUUCAAGAAGUAGGGCUAAUGAAGUAAAAAAGGUAACUUGGGUAUAUUAGGUAGCAAACGAUUUAUGAUUAAUUUAAGGGUUAAUAUACUAGAGGUACCUAGUUGGAAACAUAAUUAGAUGUGAGAUACAACCCUAAUAUAUUGUUCUGAACUAAAUCAUUUUUACAAAAAUAAAUAUGAUCUAUAUCUUUUACAUUUUUUUAUCCCAAAUUUGCUCUCAACCUAAACCAUAAAUUCUACAGUCACAUUUCUCUCAGAUCUAUUUGUUUUAUUUCUUCCCUCUUCUCUCUCGUCUCGCUCGUUCUCUCUGCUCUCUCUCACAGUACGCUAUCUCUCUCUCUCUCUCUCCCUCUCUCUUUCUCUCGUUCUCUCUCUCUCUCUCUCUCUCUCUCUCUCUCUCUCUCUCUCUCUCUCUCUCUCUCUCUCUCUCUCUCUCUCUCUCUCUCUCUCUCUCUCUCUCUCUCUCUCUCUCUCUCUAUCUCCAUUACUUCACUCCAUUGUUGAGGAGGGAUGGCUAUGGCGACAAUAAGAUGAUGGUUAUGGAGGCAGUUGACGACGACGACUAUGGUGGUGGAGGUCUGAUCUAUGACGGAUGAUGGCGGCUAGGUUUUAAUUUGGUUGACGGCUAUGGCGGUUUAGGGUUUAAUUUGGUCGAGGGCUAUAGUUUAAUUUGGUCGAUGACUAUGGCAGCUAGGGUUUAAUUUGGUCGAAGGCUAGGGUUUAAUUUGGUCGGCGGCUAGGGUUGGUGGACGACUAUGUAUUUGCAGAUUUGGUUUGGUGGCGGCAGCUGAAAUUUGUUGGCUGUUAUGAUUUAACAGAGGCUGGAAGAUGUUGGAAGUUAGGGUUUGGCGGCGGUUGGGAGUUGUUGAAUGAUAAAGUUCAGAAUAGUACACCAAUAAUAUACCGUAGAAUACUAUAGUAUACACUAUACAAUAGCAUAGCAUACCAUAGUAUACCAUAGUACACUAUAGUAUUAUAUUAAAGAUCUGCUGUAUUAUUUGAUAAAAACGAAAAAAAUAUUUUUUUCGUAAUUUUCAAUAAAAUUUUCUAAAAAAAAGUUACUUAUAAUAACGUAAAAAAUGCUAGAGUAAAAACGAAUAAAUAAAGAUGACCAAGUCGGUAAAAAUAAAAUAAAAUAUAUUAUUAGAUGAAAAAAUGAAGAUAUUAAAUGCAUAAUUAAAUGAUAAAAUGCAGUUUGAAUUUAAUUAACACAAAUUCGAAUUUAUGUAUGGAGGGGCAUUUUUUGGAAUGAAUGUAAUAAAAGAUGUGAAACAAAAGUUUAGUUAGGCUUGUGAUCAUUUAGUUCAAAUUAGUAUUGUCACCAGAGACCUAUAUUGUAAUAGCCCUUAGUUUAAAUAUCAAAAGGGAUAUUGGUAAAAGACAAAUAUCAAAUGAGUUGGUAACUUAGUAUUAUGUUCAAAUGUGAUUUGAGGGGUCUUUCUAAUUAACCAAAGAAAUCUAAAAGGGAACAUUACACAUUUCGUCCCUCAAGUUUACCUUGAUUUCACAUUUGGUCCCCCAAGUUCACAAAAAACAAGUUUAGUCCCUCAUAUUUCAAUAAUUUAACACUUUUAGAAUCAAGCAUGUGUGCAUUACUUUCUUAACAGACAGACUAACGUUAAAUUGAAGAAAAUGACAAAAAAAUGUCAAAUUGUUGAAACAUGAGGACCGAAUGUGUGUUUUUAAACAUGGAUGUCCAAAUGUGAAACCAGUGCAAACUUAAGGGAUGAAAACUGUAAUUUUCUCAAAUCUAAAUAUUAGGUUCUCAGCCCAAAUCAUUUAAGUUGUAGGAGAAUUAAAGGGCGGAAAGAUGGGAUGUGCAUUUCAUUUGAAAGGAUAUUCACUAGGCCAACAUGAUAUACACAUUUAUAUACACGCUUCAAUCGGAAACACAUCGCAAAAAAUCGUACCAAGUCAUCGCAAAACUUUGUUUUAUUACAGAAGCUCAAAUAAAUAAUUUAUAUUUUUGACACAACUUUCUUCAUCAUUUCCAGAAGAACAACAUCUUUCUUGGAUCCUUGAAGGUGAUUAAUUAACAUGGACGAAGUAGAUGCGUCGGCUAAGAACCCCUUUUUGUGCAUUUCCUCUAAGAAUGGCAUUGCCUUGUAAACCUCUUUCUUCUUCAGCAAGCCCUGGAUUAUGUUGUUGUAUGUCACGCUAUUCGGUGCACAACCACUUCUCUCCAUUUUUAUAAGCAAAUCUUUUGCUUCCUCUA